AAACUACAACACUCUACUCUUUCAUUUCUUAGAGACAGAGCCUGAAUUUUUUAAAGUACUACUGAAGAAAAUUGAGGCAUUUUAUUAAAAUGAAGAUGCGGAAAAUAUGGAAAUCCCCUGUCUAGUUCAAAGUCAAGACUGCAUAGCUAAAUUUGAAGAUGGAGUUUAGUGCCAAGUCACUGAUUUCCCCGAUAAACUACUCUUGCUGAUUGCUUCUUGGCUUCGUGUAUUCAUCACUUAUAUAUUGUAUGUUGUUGCUUGGAUCUUCUGUUUCUGUUUGGGGCCUUGGUGCUGUGUUAAUGAAAGACUCAUGGGAAAUAUAACAUCUGGUGCUGGUACCCAGAGCAGAAGAGCUGCAAUUGAUUGGAACAUGGAGGGCUCCUUGUAGGUGCUAUAAAUUGCAUUGUCGG
Molecule: long non-coding RNA, 410 nt
Filed under: Macaca mulatta (Rhesus monkey)
Lineage: Eukaryota; Metazoa; Chordata; Mammalia; Primates; Cercopithecidae
Description: lncRNA (ENSMMUG00000056123.1)
Source: RNAcentral